GUGGGUGUAGUUUAGUGGUAAAACUACAGCCUUCCAAGCUGUUGUCGCGAGUUCGAUUCUCGUCACCCGCU
This 71-nucleotide transfer RNA is filed under the name Streptococcus agalactiae. RNAcentral's name for it is "tRNA-Gly". It matches the Rfam family "tRNA". From Rfam's summary of the family: Transfer RNA (tRNA) molecules are approximately 80 nucleotides in length. RNAcentral also lists the same sequence under 1 other name. Lineage: Bacteria; Bacillati; Bacillota; Bacilli; Lactobacillales; Streptococcaceae. The record is from RNAcentral.